UGCUUACAAGAAGAUAGAGCCCGUUAAUGGGUGAUAUCGUGCUUUUUGUAGAAAGAGCCGGCGAGUUACUAUAACGUGCGAGGUUAACCAGAAUAUGGGGAGCCGUAGUGAAAGCGAGCCUUAAUAGGGCGUUUAGUACGUUGUAGUAGACACGAAACCGGGUGAUCUAGCCAUGAGCAGGUUGAAGUUGAGGUAAUACUCAAUGGAGGACCGAACCUACGUUCGUUGAAAAGACCGAGGAUGACUUGUGGCUAGCGGUGAAAUUCCAAUCGAACCCGGAGAUAGCUAGUUCUCCCCGAUAUAUCUUUAAGGAUAGCGUCGCAAUUAAAACUAUGGAGGUAGAGCACUGAAUCUAUGAUGGCGGCACCUAGCUGUACUGAAUAGAAUUAAACUCCGAAUGCCAUAGUCCAAUUAUGCGGCAGUCAGAACAUGGGUGAUAAGGUCCAUGCUCGUGAGGGAAACAGCCCAGAUCGUCAGCUAAGGUCCCUAAAUGUAUACUAAGUGUGUAAGGAUGUGGAAUUGCACAGACAGCUAGGAUGUUGGCUCAGAAGCAGCCAUCAUUUAAAGAGUGCGUAACAGCUCACUAGUCGAGUGAUUCUGCGCCGAAAAUGUACCGGGGCUUAAGUAUACUACCGAAGCUACGGAUUGUGCGUAUGCACAGUGGUAGGGGAGCGUUCUAAGGGCGAUGAAGUUGGACCGUGAGGACCAGUGGAGCGCUUAGAAGUGAUUAUGCCGGCAUGAGUAACGUUUGAAGGUGAGAAUCCUUCAUGCUAUUUGACCAAGGUUUCCUGGGCAAGGUUCGUCCACCCAGGGUUAGUCAGGACCUAAGGCGAGGCCGAUAGGCGUAGUCGAUGGACAACAGGUUGAUAUUCCUGUACUGAUUAUUGAGUGAUGGAGUGACGGAGAAAGAUAGUGUAUCCCAGGCGUUGGUUGUCCUGGGCUAAGCGCAAAGGUGGUAGAGUUGGCAAAUCCGCUCUAUAUUCAACAUUGAAGCGUGAUGGGGAGUGAACGGUUCGCCUAGUAACGAAGUACAUGACUCUAUGCUUCCAAGAAAAGCUUCUAACUUAAUCAAUAAUUACCUGUACCUAGAACGAACACACGUGGUCAAGGAGAAAAUCCUAAGGCAAGCGAGAUAACUAUAGCUAAGGAACUCUGCAAAAUGACUCCGUAACUUCGGAAGAAGGAGUGCUCAACUUGAUUGAGCCGCAGUGAAGAGGGAGGGGCAACUGUUUAGCAAAAACACAGCUCUCUGCUAAGUCGCAAGACGAUGUAUAGGGGGUGACACCUGCCCAGUGCCGGAAGGUUAAAAGGAGAAGUCAGCGCAAGCGAAGCUUUGAAUUGAAGCCCCGGUGAACGGCGGCCGUAACUAUAACGGUCCUAAGGUAGCGAAAUUCCUUGUCAGGUAAGUUCUGACCCGCACGAAAGGUGUAAUGAUCCCUUCGCUGUCUCGGCUAUAGACUCGGUGAAAUUUUAGUACCGGUGAAGAUGCCGGUUACCCGCAACUAGACGGAAAGACCCCGUGGAGCUUUACUAUAACUUGAUAUUGAAAUUUGGUGUAACGUGUAGAGGAUAGGUGGGAGACUUUGAAGCAGGACCGCUAGGGCUUGUGGAGUCAUCCUUGGAAUACCACCCUCGUUACAUUGGAUUUCUAACUCUGACCCGUUAUCCGGGUUGAGGACAGUGUCUGGUGGGUAGUUUGACUGGGGCGGUCGCCUCCUAAAAUGUAACGGAGGCGCUCAAAGGUAUUCUCAGUAUGGUUGGAAAUCAUACAAAGAGCGCAAAGGUAGAAGAAUGCUUAACUGCGAGACUUACAAGUCGAACAGAUACGAAAGUAGGACUUAGUGAUCCGGCGGUCCCGAGUGGAAGGGCCGUCGCUCAACGGAUAAAAGUUACCCCGGGGAUAACAGGCUGAUCUCCCCCAAGAGUUCACAUCGACGGGGAGGUUUGGCACCUCGAUGUCGGCUCAUCGCAUCCUGGAGCUGAAGUCGGUUCCAAGGGUUGGGCUGUUCGCCCAUUAAAGCGGUACGCGAGCUGGGUUCAGAACGUCGUGAGACAGUUUGGUCCCUAUCUGUUGUGGGCGUAGGAAAAUUGAAGAGAGCUGACCCUAGUACGAGAGGACCGGGUUGGACGCAUCCCUGGUGCACCAGUUGUCUCGCCAGAGGCAUAGCUGGGUAGCUAUAUG
Molecule: ribosomal RNA, 2182 nt
Filed under: Mesoplasma photuris ATCC 49581
Lineage: Bacteria; Bacillati; Mycoplasmatota; Mollicutes; Entomoplasmatales; Entomoplasmataceae
Description: bacterial LSU rRNA
Rfam family: Bacterial large subunit ribosomal RNA
Source: RNAcentral